GGGGGCGAAAAUGGUUUCGACGGGGAUUCUGAGCCUUAAGUAGCGAGUCGUUGAUGAAUCACACAACGCUAAAAUGGUUCAUAAAAAUAAACGACGAAAAUAAUUUCGCACUAGCUGCCUAAGGGUAGCUUAUCUAGCUUAAAGUGCCCACGCUUUAAAAUCUAGGUAUCAAAUUUUGUGGGGAACCGCACUGCACAAGUUGUCAUAAUGCAGGACGGAACUUAUGACAAUAUCCUACGAUUUUUUUUGAUUAUUUAAAAGACUAGGAGAAAAUUUAAAAAUAGUCUGCACUCGGAGAAGCUUUUUGCAGACGAAUCUUCGGACGUGAGUUCGACUCUCACCGCCUCCACCA
This 352-nucleotide transfer-messenger RNA is filed under the name Peptoniphilus lacrimalis 315-B. It matches the Rfam family "transfer-messenger RNA". From Rfam's summary of the family: Bacterial tmRNA, also known as 10Sa RNA or SsrA, is named for its dual tRNA and mRNA-like properties. RNAcentral also lists the same sequence under 1 other name. Lineage: Bacteria; Bacillati; Bacillota; Tissierellia; Tissierellales; Peptoniphilaceae. The record is from Rfam by way of RNAcentral.